GUUUGAACAAGAGACCACCUCAAGUAAGUUUGUCUAUUGGGGAUGCAGAUUUAAGUAUCAAUGACAACUUAAAGGGUAAUCAUUAAUCAAAGAAUUACUGUUUGAUAAAGUAUAGUGGGUACUCAUCGUUACAGAGUAUCUCCUUCCCACCUCAAGCUUUUCACUUCUUCUCACCUUAAGAUUGUAAUUUUGUAAAUUUUUAUUCUUCAAAGAACUUCCCUGAGCUUGAAGUUGAACUUAUUGAAAUGGUAUCUCACUUCCAGUUAGGCCUGAUCUUAUUUCAUGGAGAUCACUUUCAGUGUGGCUGAUAAGCAUUUGUUAAAUCUUUAAGGAUCUGUGGUUAUUGGUGUAAUUUUGUUUUUCGAUUUCUCUGUCAGAUUUACUUCAAGAAGA
This 393-nucleotide unclassified non-coding RNA is filed under the name Hevea brasiliensis (rubber tree). The record is from RNAcentral. Lineage: Eukaryota; Viridiplantae; Streptophyta; Magnoliopsida; Malpighiales; Euphorbiaceae.